GCCCCCAUCGUCUAGAGGCCUAGGACACCGGCCUUUCAAGCCGGCAACAGCGAUUCGAAUUCGCUUGGGGGUACCA
RNAcentral lists this transfer RNA (76 nucleotides) under Dehalococcoidales bacterium. RNAcentral describes it as "tRNA-Glu". It matches the Rfam family "tRNA". From Rfam's summary of the family: Transfer RNA (tRNA) molecules are approximately 80 nucleotides in length. Their secondary structure includes four short double-helical elements and three loops (D, anti-codon, and T loops). Further hydrogen bonds mediate the characteristic L-shaped molecular structure. tRNAs have two regions of fundamental functional importance: the anti-codon, which is responsible for specific mRNA codon recognition, and the 3' end, to which the tRNAs corresponding amino acid is attached (by aminoacyl-tRNA synthetases). tRNAs cope with the degeneracy of the genetic code in two manners: having more than one tRNA (with a specific anti-codon) for a particular amino acid; and 'wobble' base-pairing, i.e. permitting non-standard base-pairing at the 3rd anti-codon position. RNAcentral also lists the same sequence under 1 other name. The record is from RNAcentral. Lineage: Bacteria; Bacillati; Chloroflexota; Dehalococcoidia; Dehalococcoidales.